This 493-nucleotide ribosomal RNA is filed under the name uncultured Bacteroidota bacterium. RNAcentral describes it as "bacterial SSU rRNA". It matches the Rfam family "Bacterial small subunit ribosomal RNA", at positions 887 to 1382 of the family's 1533-position model. Lineage: Bacteria; Pseudomonadati; Bacteroidota. The record is from RNAcentral.
GCCCGCUCAGAAACUUAAAGGAAUUGACGGGGCCCGGCACAAGCGGAGGAGCAUGUGGUUUAAUUCGAUGAUACGCGUGGAACCUUACCUGGGCUUAAAUGCUUAAUGACGUACUGGGAAACUGGUAUUUCUUCGGACAUUUUGCAAGGUGCUGCAUGGUUGUCGUCAGCUCGUGCCGUGAGGUGUCGGGUUAAGUCCCAUAACGAGCGCAACCCCUAUUGUUAGUUGCCAUCAGGUCAUGCUGGGGACUCUAACAAAACUGCCCGCGUAAGCGUGGAGGAAGGUGGGGAUGACGUCAAAUCAGCACGGCCCUUACGUCCAGGGCUACACACGUGCUACAAUGGCCGGUACAGAGGGCAGCCACUUGGUGACAAGGAGCAAAUCUCAAAAGCCGGUCUCAGUUCGGAUCGGAGUCUGCAACUCGACUCCGUGAAGUUGGAUUCGCUAGUAAUCGUAGAUCAGCAAUGCUACGGUGAAUACGUUCCCGGGCCUU